AGUGAACGCUGGCGGUAGGCCUAACACAUGCAAGUCGAACGGCAGCACAGUAAGAGCUUGCUCUUACGGGUGGCGAGUGGCGGACGGGUGAGGAAUACAUCGGAAUCUACUUUUUCGUGGGGGAUAACGUAGGGAAACUUACGCUAAUACCGCAUACGACCUACGGGUGAAAUCAGGGGAUCUUCGGACCUUGCGCGAUUGAAAGAGCCGAUGUCGGAUUAGCUAGUUGGCGGGGUAAAGGCCCACCAAGGCGACGAUCCGUAGCUGGUCUGAGAGGAUGAUCAGCCACACUGGAACUGAGACACGGUCCAGACUCCUACGGGAGGCAGCAGUGGGGAAUAUUGGACAAUGGGCGCAAGCCUGAUCCAGCCAUACCGCGUGGGUGAAGAAGGCCUUCGGGUUGUAAAGCCCUUUUGUUGGGAAAGAAAAGCAGCAGGUUAAUACCCCGCUGUUCUGACGGUACCCAAAGAAUAAGCACCGGCUAACUUCGUG
Molecule: ribosomal RNA, 492 nt
Filed under: uncultured bacterium
Lineage: Bacteria
Description: partial 16S ribosomal RNA
Rfam family: Bacterial small subunit ribosomal RNA
Source: RNAcentral